GAGUUUGAUCAUGGCUCAGGAUGAAUGCUGGCGGCGUGCCUAACACAUGCAAGUCGAGCGGCAGCGAGGGGUGCUUGCACCCUGUCGGCGAGCGGCGAACGGCUGAGUAACGCGUAGGAAUUUGCCCCAAAGUGAGGGAUAACUGCCCGAAAGGGUAGCUAAUACCGCAUAUGGUCUUCGGAUUAAAGGAUUUAUCCGCUUUUGGGAGAAGCCUGCGUUGGAUUAGGUUUGUUGGUAGGGUAAUGGCCUACCAAGCCGACGAUCCAUAGCUGGUCUGAGAGGAUGAUCAGCCAGACUGGAACUGAGACACGGUCCAGACUCCUACGGGAGGCAGCAGUGAGGAAUCUUCCACAAUGGGCGAAAGCCUGAUGGAGCAACGCCGCGUGAAGGAUGAAGGCCUUCGGGUUGUAAACUUCUUUUAUGAGUGAAGAAUAUGACGGUAACUCAUGAAUAAGCACCGGCUAACUACGUGCCAGCAGCCGCGGUCAUACGUAGGGUGCAAGCAUUAUCCGGAGUGACUGGGCGUAAAGAGUUGCGUAGGCGGUUUAAUAAGUGAAUAGUGAAACCUGGUGGCUCAACCAUACAGACUAUUAUUCAAACUGUUAAACUCGAGAAUGGUAGAGGUAACUGGAAUUUCUUGUGUAGGAGUGAAAUCCGUAGAUAUAAGAAGGAACACCGAUGGCGUAGGCAGGUUACUGGGCCAUUUCUGACGCUAAGGCACGAAAGCGUGGGGAGCGAACCGGAUUAGAUACCCGGGUAGUCCACGCCGUAAACGAUGGAUACUAGCUGUUGGAGGUAUCGACCCCUUCAGUAGCGAAGCUAACGCGUUAAGUAUCCCGCCUGUGGAGUACGGCCGCAAGGCUAAAACAUAAAGGAAUUGACGGGGACCCGCACAAGCGGUGGAUUAUGUUCUUUAAUUCGAUGAUAACCGAAGAACCUUACCAGGGCUUGACAUCCAGGGAAGGUCUGCGAAAGCAGACUGUGCCUUUUGGAACCCUGUGACAGGUGAUGCAUGGCCGUCGUCAGCUCGUGUCGUGAGAUGUUAGGUUAAGUCCUUCAACGAGCGCAACCCUUGUGAAUAGUUGUAUUUUUCUAUUCAGACUGCCCCGGUAACGGGGAGGAAGGAGGGGAUGAUGUCAGGUCAGUAUUUUCCCUUACGUCCUGGGCUAGAAACGUAAUACGAUGGCUAGUACGAAUGCGCAGCGAAGCCGCGAGGUGAAGCGAAAUCGCAUCGAAAGCUAGUCCCGGUUCGGAUUGCGGGCUGGAAACUCGCCUGCGUGAA
Molecule: ribosomal RNA, 1282 nt
Filed under: uncultured bacterium
Lineage: Bacteria
Description: bacterial SSU rRNA
Rfam family: Bacterial small subunit ribosomal RNA
Source: RNAcentral